GCAGUGGUGGUUCAGUGGAAUAAUUCUUGCCUUCCACGUGGGAGACCUGGGAUCAAUUCCCAGCCAGUUCA
This 71-nucleotide transfer RNA is filed under the name Loxodonta africana (African savanna elephant). It matches the Rfam family "tRNA". Rfam says of the family: Transfer RNA (tRNA) molecules are approximately 80 nucleotides in length. Their secondary structure includes four short double-helical elements and three loops (D, anti-codon, and T loops). Further hydrogen bonds mediate the characteristic L-shaped molecular structure. tRNAs have two regions of fundamental functional importance: the anti-codon, which is responsible for specific mRNA codon recognition, and the 3' end, to which the tRNAs corresponding amino acid is attached (by aminoacyl-tRNA synthetases). tRNAs cope with the degeneracy of the genetic code in two manners: having more than one tRNA (with a specific anti-codon) for a particular amino acid; and 'wobble' base-pairing, i.e. permitting non-standard base-pairing at the 3rd anti-codon position. Lineage: Eukaryota; Metazoa; Chordata; Mammalia; Proboscidea; Elephantidae. The record is from Rfam by way of RNAcentral.